AUUGAACGCUGGCGGCAUGCUUUACACAUGCAAGUCGAACGGUAACAGGUUAAGCUGACGAGUGGCGAACGGGUGAGUAAUGCAUCGGAACGUGCCCAGUCGUGGGGGAUAACGCAGCGAAAGCUGUGCUAAUACCGCAUACGAUCUAUGGAUGAAAGCGGGGGACCGUAAGGCCUCGCGCGAUUGGAGCGGCCGAUGUCAGAUUAGCUAGUUGGUGGGGUAAGGCCCACCAAGGCGACGAUCUGUAGCUGGUCUGAGAGGACGACCAGCCACACUGGAACUGAGACACGGUCCAGACUCCUACGGGAGGCAGCAGUGGGGAAUUUUGGACAAUGGGCGCAAGCCUGAUCCAGCAAUGCCGCGUGCAGGAAGAAGGCCUUCGGGUU
Molecule: ribosomal RNA, 386 nt
Filed under: uncultured bacterium
Lineage: Bacteria
Description: bacterial SSU rRNA
Rfam family: Bacterial small subunit ribosomal RNA
Source: RNAcentral